RNAcentral lists this unclassified non-coding RNA (218 nucleotides) under Hevea brasiliensis (rubber tree). The record is from RNAcentral. Lineage: Eukaryota; Viridiplantae; Streptophyta; Magnoliopsida; Malpighiales; Euphorbiaceae.
GUGCACUUGGUUUGUUGGAGAAAAUGAGCAGUCAUAUCUUCUAGGAAGUCGAUGAAGUUACCCAUUUAAGGGUGAACAACAGAAAGCAAAAAUCAUAAUGAUAUGGUGGCAACUAAUGAACAAAUGAAAAACAUCACAUAUGAGAAAGUGGUCUUUUUUGGUUGAGUACAUUUGAUCUUCUAUCAUAGCACUGUUUUGUGCUGCUCUGAAGUAUACCA